This is a long non-coding RNA of Lolium rigidum, 301 nucleotides long. RefSeq lists it as uncharacterized. The transcript is spliced from 3 exons. NCBI's taxonomy places the organism in Eukaryota, Viridiplantae, Streptophyta, Magnoliopsida, Poales, Poaceae. The record is from RefSeq and is a predicted model, not a curated record.
GGCUGGGUUUUUUACGGUUGAGCUCAAUUCGGGCCGAACCAAGAAGGUUAGCGAGUUGAAAAUGGCUGCUCAUGUCACUCCUUGGACAAGCUUCUACACUCAAGAUCAUGCUAGGCGUGACAUGGGUCAUAUCCAUCCGUCAGCAUGAAGAACCGGAACCGCUGCCAUUUUGCAUGAGGAAGUCUGGAGCUGCAUGAGUACUGACCAAGUUUCUGUGGAGAAAUGUGAGCCUUAAUCUGAAGUACGGAGAUUUUGAUUUGGCUUCAGAGGAACCGUAGCUUUCUAGUACUUCCUCCGAUCC